UACGAAGGGGGCUAGCGUUGCUCGGAAUCACUGGGCGUAAAGGGCGCGUAGGCGGACUCUUAAGUCGGGGGUGAAAGCCCAGGGCUCAACCCUGGAAUUGCCUUCGAUACUGAGAGUCUUGAGUUCGGAAGAGGUUGGUGGAACUGCGAGUGUAGAGGUGAAAUUCGUAGAUAUUCGGAAGAACACCAGUGGCGAAGGCGACUUACUGGACACAUAUUGACGCUGAGGUGCGAAAGCGUGGGGAGCAAACAGG
Molecule: ribosomal RNA, 253 nt
Filed under: uncultured bacterium
Lineage: Bacteria
Description: partial 16S ribosomal RNA
Rfam family: Bacterial small subunit ribosomal RNA
Source: RNAcentral